This is a long non-coding RNA of Callithrix jacchus (white-tufted-ear marmoset), 1327 nucleotides long. The record is from Ensembl. NCBI's taxonomy places the organism in Eukaryota, Metazoa, Chordata, Mammalia, Primates, Cebidae.
UGUAUCUUAUUUGGGUAAUGACAUCUUGAUUUUACAUCCUAAUCUUGAUGAAAAAAUAGGAUGAGGCUUUGGGGGGUCAUAAAAGCAUGAUAAGUAUAUUUUACAUGUAGGAGUGAAGUAAAUCACAGAGGACAAGAAGAUCUACUGUGAGCGCUAGUCUUCAAAGAUUAACUCCCAAUUAAUAUCUGAAAGUAGUGUGUAUAUCCACAUACUUGUGCAGGAGUCAGUAUGCAUUUAAAUCUGAGCUGGCCAAGAUAAAAUGUAAUGAAAAUAACAAUUUAUGAUUAAAGUUAAGUUAGAAAGAGGCUUGAAGAUUCUGCUGUGAUCUCUUAGACUACUUGCUCUCAGAGAAGCUGGCCAAGAUGUGAGAAAUCCUCUCACUCUAAGACCAUGAUGUAAGUUCAAGUUAGCCCUGUGGGGAAGCUUCGCAAAGAGAUGAAUGGCCAACUUCCAGUGGUUUCUGACAUCCCAGCACAGUCACCAGACAUAUAAAAGAACAAACCAUUUUGAGAAUCUAGCCUGAUCAAACAUUCUGUUUACUUCGACCUCAUAAAACUUUGGUCUACAAACAGAUGAAAGAAGCCCAGAAGAACCAACCCAGCCGGACCACCAAUUUUGUCAAAUCAAAAAAUCAUCAGACAUUAUCUUAUAUUUUUGUAUCUUGCCAUUAAACUUUGUAGUUGUUUGUUAAACAUAAAUAGAUUUAGAGGAAGAUUCUAAGAUGGCCAAAUAAGAGGCAGCUCCGGAAAGCAGCUCCCAGCGAGAGAGACUCAGAAGCCAAGUGGUCUCCAGAAUUCCAAACGAGUCUUGACUUCCUCAGUUCCCUGCAGUGUAUUCCUCAAAAACGAACCUCAGAAAAUCCUCUGUUAUGAUUUCUAUCUCAGAUUUUGCUUCUGGAGACACAUUUCAAGACAGCCUCUACAAAGGCUUCACAGAACAAGAAGACAUGAAGAAGGAGGAUGGACAGGGUGCUACUUUCUGUUCACCAGCUGCACUCUACUUACUACAGACCUGCCUAUGCUGGAUGUUAUUGAGACAAAUGGCUAAUGAGUACGGAGCCACAGCAUUAACCUCCAGUGCCUACAUAAGCCAUAAGAUGAGUAAGGAAACAGAAAUGAAACAGCAAGAAAAAAAAAAGGAAAAAGAGAAGAAUUGAGGCUGGAAACACCAUGGCUUAUAUGAAGAAGAGAAAUAAUGCCAGGAUAUAUGAAGUAUGGCAAAUGGUGUAAAUAAGAGGAGGCUGCAGGGGGAGAGUAGAUCAAAAUACUAUAAAAUUUCAUCAGUAAGCAAGAUUAGCCUGUUAUCCUAAUAAAGAUGGAAAGCCAAC